RNAcentral lists this ribosomal RNA (492 nucleotides) under uncultured bacterium. Its description in RNAcentral is "partial 16S ribosomal RNA". It matches the Rfam family "Bacterial small subunit ribosomal RNA", at positions 29 to 507 of the family's 1533-position model. The record is from RNAcentral.
AGUGAACGCUGGCGGUAGGCCUAACACAUGCAAGUCGAACGGCAGCACAGUAAGAGCCUGCUCUUACGGGUGGCGAGUGGCGGACGGGUGAGGAAUACAUCGGAAUCUACUUUUUCGUGGGGGAUAACGUAGGGAAACUUACGCUAAUACCGCAUACGACCUACGGGUGAAAGCAGGGGAUCUUCGGACCUUGCGCGAUUGAAUGAGCCGAUGUCGGAUUAGCUAGUUGGCGGGGUAAAGGCCCACCAAGGCGACGAUCCGUAGCUGGUCUGAGAGGAUGAUCAGCCACACUGGAACUGAGACACGGUCCAGACUCCUACGGGAGGCAGCAGUGGGGAAUAUUGGACAAUGGGCGCAAGCCUGAUCCAGCCAUACCGCGUGGGUGAAGAAGGCCUUCGGGUUGUAAAGCCCUUUUGUUGGGAAAGAAAAGCAGCAGGUUAAUACCCCGCUGUUCUGACGGUACUCAAAGAAUAAGCACCGGCUAACUUCGUG